GGGACCCUAAACACACCAUAAACAAAUAAUUUAACAGAUAUAAUAGCGGACAACAACAAAAAUGAGGCACCACAACAAACAUAAUAAGGGACAACAACCAAACAAAAAUCAUACUUUAUGGGGACCACAAUGAAAGCAACCAUAUAGAAGUGAAAGCAACCAUAAAUAGAACGAAAACAAUCAUACACGCACCUUCGAAUGGAACCCACUUCGCUAUUGAAAAUACCUGACGAAGAAUGCCAAAUGCGCU
This 250-nucleotide long non-coding RNA is filed under the name Vigna radiata. RNAcentral describes it as "long non-coding RNA (VRAD_LNC016412)". Lineage: Eukaryota; Viridiplantae; Streptophyta; Magnoliopsida; Fabales; Fabaceae. The record is from RNAcentral.